Molecule: transfer RNA, 112 nt
Filed under: Ustilago hordei
Lineage: Eukaryota; Fungi; Basidiomycota; Ustilaginomycetes; Ustilaginales; Ustilaginaceae
Description: transfer RNA-Gly(GCC)
Source: RNAcentral
GCAUUGAUAGUGUAGGGGUAUCAUGAGUCGUUGCCAGUCUCAUCAUCUGUAUUCAGGUGUGUUUAAAUCCACUCGAUUCGACUCGACCGGGGUUCGAGUCCCCGUCAAUGCA